GGACGACCGCUGGCGGCGUGUUUACCACAUGCAAGUGGAGCGAUGAAAUUCUUUGGAAGUGGAUUAGCGGCGGACGGGUGAGUAACACGUGGUUAACUUGCCUUGUAGAGAGGAAUAGCCAUUGAAAAGGAUGAUUAAUACCUCAUAAUAUUGUAGCUUCGCAUGGAGCAACAAUCAAAGGAGCAAUCCGCUACAAGAUGGACCCGCGGCGCAUUAGCUAGUUGGUGGGGUAACGGCUCACCAAGGCGACGAUGCGUAGCCGACCUGAGAGGGUGAUCGGCCACAUUGGGACUGAGACACGGCCCAGACUCCUACGGGAGGCAGCAGUGGGGAAUAUUGCACAAUGGGGGAAACCCUGAUGCAGCAACGCCGCGUGAGUGAUGACGGUCUUCGGAUUGUAAAGCUCUGUCUUCAGGGACGAUAAUGACGGUACCUGAGGAGGAAGCCACGGCUAACUACGUGCCAGCAGCCGCGGUAAUACGUAGGUGGCAAGCGUUGUCCGGAUUUACUGGGCGUAAAGGGAGCGUAGGCGGACUUUUAAGUGGGAUGUGAAAUACCCGGGCUUAACCUGGGUGCUGCAUUCCAAACUGGGAGUCUAGAGUGCAGGAGGGGAAAGUGGAAUUCCUAGUGUAGCGGUGAAAUGCGUAGAGAUUAGGAAGAACACCGGUGGCGAAGGCGACUUUCUGGACUGUAACUGACGCUGAGGCUCGAAAGCGUGGGGAGCGAACAGGAUUAGAUCCCCUGGUAGUCCACGCCGUAAACGAUGACUACUAGGUGUAGGGGUUGUCAUGACUUCUGUGCCGCCGCUAACGCAUUAAGUAUCCAGCCUGGGGAGUA
This 837-nucleotide ribosomal RNA is filed under the name uncultured bacterium. Its description in RNAcentral is "bacterial SSU rRNA". It matches the Rfam family "Bacterial small subunit ribosomal RNA", at positions 27 to 882 of the family's 1533-position model. The record is from RNAcentral.